This 505-nucleotide ribosomal RNA is filed under the name uncultured bacterium. RNAcentral's name for it is "partial 16S ribosomal RNA". It matches the Rfam family "Bacterial small subunit ribosomal RNA", at positions 28 to 507 of the family's 1533-position model. The record is from RNAcentral.
GACGAACGCUGGCGGCGUGCCUAAUACAUGCAAGUAGAACGCACAGUUUAUACCGUAGCUUGCUACACCAUAGACUGUGAGUUGCGAACGGGUGAGUAACGCGUAGGUAACCUGCCUGGUAGCGGGGGAUAACUAUUGGAAACGAUAGCUAAUACCGCAUAAUAUUAAUUAUUGCAUGAUAAUUAAUUGAAAGGUGCAAUUGCACCACUACCAGAUGGACCUGCGUUGUAUUAGCUAGUAGGUGAGGUAACGGCUCACCUAGGCGACGAUACAUAGCCGACCUGAGAGGGUGAUCGGCCACACUGGGACUGAGACACGGCCCAGACUCCUACGGGAGGCAGCAGUAGGGAAUCUUCGGCAAUGGACGAAAGUCUGACCGAGCAACGCCGCGUGAGUGAAGAAGGUUUUCGGAUCGUAAAGCUCUGUUGUAAGAGAAGAACGGGUGUGAGAGUGGAAAGUUCACACUGUGACGGUAUCUUACCAGAAAGGCACGGCUAACUACGUG